This 63-nucleotide transfer RNA is filed under the name Phoetalia pallida. RNAcentral's name for it is "tRNA-Pro". Lineage: Eukaryota; Metazoa; Arthropoda; Insecta; Blattodea; Blaberidae. The record is from RNAcentral.
CAGGGAAUAGUUUAAUUAAAAUAUUAAUUUUGGGGAUUAAUGAUAAGAUCUUCUUUUCUCUGA